ACGGAGGUGCAGCUUCUUAUCGGAGGCCAAUCACGAUUGUCAGAAGCCUAAGUGCUACUUCACCUUUUGUACGUUUGUCUUGGGCGCCAGUUUAGGUCUUCUAUAGGUCAAAGAAGCUGCUCUCUUCGCCUUGAUGCCUCUUGUUGGUUGGGGACGAUAAAAGUGCGAAUGUUGCAGCCAGUAAUUGCGAGCACAAAGGAUUGAAAAUUGUAGAUCAACUUGUGCAACUACAAAAUCAGUCAGUAAGAAAAGCAAGGCUAACACAUGGCGGUAGCCCUUUACAUUUUGCGGAGGUUUGCCCUGGUGCUUGUGAGGAACACAAAGUCGGAGUGUGGUGUUCACCCGGCUGUGUUUGUCGCGUGAUGGAUGCCAUUGGCGAACCCCUAUUUUUGUGCUUUGAAGAUGGCAAACCACUUCCACUGGGCUUUCACUGAGCGUGACACAAGUUGCCUUCCUGUAUCAGAUGAAUGUGCUUAUUUAUUGUAUUAUGACUGAAUCCAAAUAAACAUCUUUAUGUCUGAA
Molecule: unclassified non-coding RNA, 522 nt
Organism: Rhipicephalus microplus (southern cattle tick)
Lineage: Eukaryota; Metazoa; Arthropoda; Arachnida; Ixodida; Ixodidae
Source: RefSeq, a predicted model, not a curated record